AGAAGCUUGCUUCUCUUGAGAGCGGCGGACGGGUGAGUAAAGCCUAGGAAUCUGCCUGGUAGUGGGGGAUAACGUUCGGAAACGGACGCUAAUACCGCAUACGUCCUACGGGAGAAAGCAGGGGACCUUCGGGCCUUGCGCUAUCAGAUGAGCCUAGGUCGGAUUAGCUAGUUGGUGAGGUAAUGGCUCACCAAGGCGACGAUCCGUAACUGGUCUGAGAGGAUGAUCAGUCACACUGGAACUGAGACACGGUCCAGACUCCUACGGGAGGCAGCAGUGGGGAAUAUUGGACAAUGGGCGAAAGCCUGAUCCAGCCAUGCCGCGUGUGUGAAGAAGGUCUUCGGAUUGUAAAGCACUUUAAGUUGGGAGGAAGGGCAUUAACCUAAUACGUUAGUGUUUUGACGUUACCGACAGAAUAAGCAC
This 423-nucleotide ribosomal RNA is filed under the name uncultured Pseudomonas sp. Its description in RNAcentral is "bacterial SSU rRNA". It matches the Rfam family "Bacterial small subunit ribosomal RNA", at positions 74 to 493 of the family's 1533-position model. The record is from RNAcentral. Lineage: Bacteria; Pseudomonadati; Pseudomonadota; Gammaproteobacteria; Pseudomonadales; Pseudomonadaceae.